RNAcentral lists this ribosomal RNA (253 nucleotides) under uncultured bacterium. Its description in RNAcentral is "partial 16S ribosomal RNA". It matches the Rfam family "Bacterial small subunit ribosomal RNA", at positions 524 to 776 of the family's 1533-position model. The record is from RNAcentral.
UACGGAGGGUGCAAGCGUUAUCCGGAUUCACUGGGUUUAAAGGGUGCGUAGGUGGGUCUGUAAGUCUGUGGUGAAAUCUCUGAGCUUAACUCGGAAACUGCCAUGGAUACUAUAGAUCUUGAAUACCGUGGAGGAUAGCGGAAUAUGUCAUGUAGCGGUGAAAUGCUUAGAUAUGACAUAGAGCACCAAUUGCGAAGGCAGCUGUCUACCCGAAUAUUGACACUGAGGCACGAAAGCGUGGGGAUCAAACAGG